CAUUAAAGAGUUAAAACAACUCCUAAACCCAUGUGAACCUACCUUUGUUGCCUCGGCAGGUCUGCAUCUUACCCUGAGGGGACCUACCCUGUAGGGACCUUACCCGGUAGUUGCGGGCAUAACCUGCCGGUGGUCUACUAAACUCUGUUUACUAUGUUAUUCUGAAUAAUUUAACUAAAUAAGUUAAAACUUUCAACAACGGAUCUCUUGGUUCUGGCAUCGAUGAAGAACGCAGCGAAAUGCGAUAAGUAAUGUGAAUUGCAGAAUUCAGUGAAUCAUCGAAUCUUUGAACGCACAUUGCGCCCAUUAGUAUUCUAGUGGGCAUGCCUGUUCGAGCGUCAUUUCAACCCUUAAGCCCUGUUGCUUAGCGUUGGGAGCCUACAGAUACCCUCUGUAGUUCCUUAAAGUUAGUGGCGGAGUCGGUUUCACACUCUAGACGUAGUAAAUUUUAUCUCGCCUAUAGAUGAGCCGGUCCCUUGCCGUAAAACCCCCUAAUUUCUAAAGGUUGACCUCGGAUCAGGUAGGAAUACCCGCUGAACUUAAGCAUAUCAAUAAGCGGAGGAAAAGAAACCAACAGGGAUUGCCCUAGUAACGGCGAGUGAAGCGGCAACAGCUCAAAUUUGAAAUCUGGCCUUCGGGUCCGAGUUGUAAUUUGUAGAGGAUGCUUUUGGCGCGGUGCCUUCCGAGUUCCCUGGAACGGGACGCCUUAGAGGGUGAGAGCCCCGUACGGNUGGACACCAAGCCUCUGUAAAGCUCCUUCGACGANUCGAGUAGUUUGGGAAUGCUGCUCUAAAUGGG
RNAcentral lists this ribosomal RNA (798 nucleotides) under Xylariaceae sp. RNAcentral describes it as "eukaryotic LSU rRNA". The stretch from base 507 to 798 matches the Rfam family "Eukaryotic large subunit ribosomal RNA", at positions 1 to 296 of the family's 3401-position model. The record is from RNAcentral. Lineage: Eukaryota; Fungi; Ascomycota; Sordariomycetes; Xylariales; Xylariaceae.